This 460-nucleotide ribosomal RNA is filed under the name uncultured bacterium. RNAcentral's name for it is "partial 16S ribosomal RNA". It matches the Rfam family "Bacterial small subunit ribosomal RNA", at positions 338 to 795 of the family's 1533-position model. The record is from RNAcentral.
CCUACGGGAGGCAGCAGUGAGGAAUAUUGGUCAAUGGACGAGAGUCUGAACCAGCCACGUAGCGUGAAGGAUGACUGCCCUAUGGGUUGUAAACUUCUUUUAUAUGGGAAUAAAAUGUUCCGCGUUUGGGAUUUUUUAUGUACCCUAUGAAUAAGGAUCGGCUAACUCCGUGCCAGCAGCCGCGGUAAUACGGAGGGUCCGAUCGUUAUCCGGAUUUAUUUGGCUUAAAGGGAACGUAGGUUGAUUGUUCAGUCAGUUGUGAAAGUUUGCGGCUCAACCGUAAAAUUGCAGUUGAAACUGGCAGUCUUGAGUACAGUAGAGGUGGGCGGAAUUCGUGGUGUAGCGGUGAAAUGCUUAGAUAUCACGAAGAACUCCGAUUGCGAAGGCAGUUCACUGGACUGCAACUGACACUGAGGCUCGAAAGUGUGGGUAUCAAACAGGAUUAGAUACCCGAGUAGUC